Molecule: non-coding RNA, 744 nt
Organism: Coturnix japonica (Japanese quail)
Lineage: Eukaryota; Metazoa; Chordata; Aves; Galliformes; Phasianidae
Source: RefSeq, a predicted model, not a curated record
UCUCCAGGCUGUGCCAUAUCCCAGUACUUCAAUCUAACAGUGACUUCAUAAUGACAUCAAGAGCAGGCUUCACAGGUCAUAACGACCUCCGUUCCUGUUGGGCAUCCUGCCACUUGGGAGUUAGACUUGGACUUAGCCCACAUUUAAUAGCCCCUCCUAGAUCACACCCUGACUGGACUGGGGAAAAUAUGGACUCCUGCAGUGUGUUUUUCAUCUAGGACCCUCAAAGCUCUUCACCUAUCAGCCUUCAGCCAGCAAAGAAAGUCUAGAUGGUCACGUUGUGCUCUGCCACUACUUUAAUGCUUCUGUAAAAUCCAUUGGAAGUAAGUUGCUGUUUCUCUGAAUGCUGCUACAGCACAACCAAGGGAUGUGCGUUCAAACACCACUGCAAGACAAGAACUUUAGAGGAACUGCACAGUAUUGCAGAACGGGAAACAGAAGUCCAAAAGGGCAGAAGAAAGGCAAUUCUGAAGCUGCAAAAUCCAGCUAUUACAAUGCAGAAGUUAGGAGGAAACAGUAGAGAAAGGAGUGAGGAAAGCUAGAAGUUUCUCUUCUAAAGCCACUGUGGCUUAAUUGAAAGCAUUAAUAAUUGUAAAAACUUGGAACCUGUGCUGCUGUCAUCAAGUGUCUUUUUGCUACAGGCACAAUGCAAAAAGUGAGAAGAUAAGGCUUUGAGACACAUGCCUGGCAAAGCAAGGGAAAAUGAAACUCCUCCACUAUGCAUUUUAGGACAGGAAAAUUGUA